GGGAGAUCAUUCUGUGCCCAGCCUUCUCCUUCUGACUUCACGCAGCAUGAUACUCUCCACCUCCUCUGCAUCGUAUAGUGCUGGAAUUGAACACAGUAUCUCACAUGUAUGAAGCCGACUUUCUACCACUGAACACAUUCCCAUUCCUGGUGAACCCCUGAAAACAAAGCCACAAGUCAGUGAGGCAAGACACGCUAUGGAAUCAGUCGUGAGUGCCUGUGGUGCUUCGUGAGUGAACAAACUGCCUUAGAAAGCCUGUGUUGUUUGCGCACCCGCCCGGUUCUGUGCUCAGACAGAGAGUCUCUUGCCCGCACACCUGGCUGGCUUCCCCGGGCCCCUCGGAGGGGAUGGGCUCCAGCUUCCCUUCCCACCCCGAGCAGAGCUCCCAAUGGCCAAAGACCACUGGAACCUAGCCACAGCCAUGCUCAAGACCCCUCUCCACACGUUCGGACAAGCCUCACGCAUGAAGGUACCAGCAGAGGAACCCAGGUGUGUGUAAUCCCAUCAACGGCCAACAUCCAGAGACUUAAAAGCAAGCUUCCAGAAGCGAGUGGCCAAAAAGCGGCCGCACAAUAUUUUAUAACCUACUUUCCCCUCUGGGAGAAAAUAGCAAGCUACUGAGAGUUUCCUGCCCACCAGCGUCAGCCUCGCAAGCUUCCCAUGGUGUAUCCAUAUGCCAAAGCCAGUAACCAGCUGAAUCUCAUUCCCCUGACCCUGAAAGAGCCUCCAAUGCGGCAUCGUUGGGAAGGCCAAGAAGAGAGAGGCUUCUAAAAUCUCAGGGAUAGGACGA
This is a long non-coding RNA of Sorex araneus (European shrew), 790 nucleotides long. RefSeq lists it as uncharacterized. The transcript is spliced from 5 exons. The record is from RefSeq and is a predicted model, not a curated record. NCBI's taxonomy places the organism in Eukaryota, Metazoa, Chordata, Mammalia, Eulipotyphla, Soricidae.